RNAcentral lists this ribosomal RNA (739 nucleotides) under uncultured bacterium. RNAcentral describes it as "bacterial SSU rRNA". It matches the Rfam family "Bacterial small subunit ribosomal RNA", at positions 56 to 794 of the family's 1533-position model. The record is from RNAcentral.
UGCAGUCGAACGAAGCAAUUGCGACAGAAGCCUUCGGGUGGAAGAUGUAAUUGACUGAGUGGCGGACGGGUGAGUAACGCGUGGGUAACCUGCCUUGUACAGGGGGAUAACAGUUAGAAAUGACUGCUAAUACCGCAUAAGCGCACAGUAUCGCAUGGUACAGUGUGAAAAACUCCGGUGGUACAAGAUGGACCCGCGUCUGAUUAGCUAGUUGGUAAGGUAACGGCUUACCAAGGCAACGAUCAGUAGCCGACUUGAGAGAGUGAUCGGCCACAUUGGGACUGAGACACGGCCCAAACUCCUACGGGAGGCAGCAGUGGGGAAUAUUGCACAAUGGGGGAAACCCUGAUGCAGCGACGCCGCGUGAGUGAAGAAGUAUUUCGGUAUGUAAAACUCUAUCAGCAAGGAAGAUAAUGACGGUACUUGACUAAGAAGCCCCGGCUAACUACGUGCCAGCAGCCGCGGUAAUACGUAGGGGGCAAGCGUUAUCCGGAUUUACUGGGUGUAAAGGGAGCGUAGACGGUAUGGUAAGUCAGAUGUGAAAGCCCGGGGCUUAACCCCGGAACUGCAUUUGAAACUGUCGUACUAGAGUGUCGGAGAGGCAAGUGGAAUUCCUAGUGUAGCGGUGAAAUGCGUAGAUAUUAGGAGGAACACCAGUGGCGAAGGCGGCUUACUGGACGAUAACUGACGUUGAGGCUCGAAAGCGUGGGGAGCAAACAGGAUUAGAUACCCUGGUAGU